Molecule: long non-coding RNA, 613 nt
Filed under: Panax ginseng (ginseng)
Lineage: Eukaryota; Viridiplantae; Streptophyta; Magnoliopsida; Apiales; Araliaceae
Description: long non-coding RNA (PGIN_LNC018971)
Source: RNAcentral
AUUUCUCGAGUGUUUGUACGAGUGUGUAUCAAGUCUAAGGAAUUACAAUCAUACUCUUUAAUGGUUGACAUAUAGGAGUUGGGCUAAACGAUUCCUUCAGAGAGCGGAGGUAUAUACGAAUUGGUAACCGAUCUAACUCACUGUGAAAACAGUGUAGACGAGACAGAAACUAAUUUGUUAGUUGUUUGUGGGAAACCACUCAGUGUACUAUAUUGAAUACUAUUAAAGAUUCAAUGUGUGUUAGGUUUAGACUUGUAUAUAUACACGUUGUUGACGAGGGAAGAAAAUCGAUAUACCUUUAAAAGUGGUUAGAGAAUUAUUGAGUGAAUUGAUACACGGCGAUGAGUGAAGAUUAAAGGAAUGUAUGUAUGUAGUACAUUCGAGUUUUGUGAUAUUGGUGGUAAGAAAUUGUAAAGGAGUUGUAUAGUUGGUUAAACUAAUAAGGGAGAUAGAGUUUUAAAACUCGAAGUGUGAUUAUUAAAUUAUUAAGGAAAAUAGUAACCAAUGAGGUGUAAUCAAAGAGAGGAUUGAUGUUAGACGAGUUAACGCUCAAGGAGGAUGUGUAAAGUAUUUAGGAGCGUAAGGUUUCAGUUCUGCUGAUGCAGAACUUGUC